This 1250-nucleotide long non-coding RNA is filed under the name Capra hircus (goat). RNAcentral's name for it is "lncRNA (ENSCHIG00000003631.1)". Lineage: Eukaryota; Metazoa; Chordata; Mammalia; Artiodactyla; Bovidae. The record is from RNAcentral.
GUGAGGGAACAGCCUUCGUACUUUCCCAUCUUGUAACAGGGAUCAACAGCUACAACCAUAACGCUAGCAAGGGCAUUGCUGCAACAGUUGGUGAUGUUUGAAUAAGGUCUGUGAUGCCAUAAUAGUAUAGCAUCCAUGUUAAUGUUGCUGAUUCUGAUAACUGGACUGGAGAGGCUGACCCUGUUCUUAAGAAACACAUGAACUAAUUGGGGAUGAAGAAGCCUCACUUCUGCAGCUCACUCUCAAAUGGCUCAGAGUUUUUUAAAGAGUAUGUAUUUAGAAAGACAGAAUAAUAAAGCAAAUCUGGCAAAAGAUUAACAACUGAUGAAUGGGAUAACAGGUAUGGAAAGGCUGCACUAUCCUCCCAACUUCUCAGUCAGUUUGGAAUGAUUUCAAAAUAAGAAUUACUAGAAGACCCUAAAAAUGUUUGCGGUACAUUCUUCCAUAGUAUAGUUUGAAUCUUGUUCAAUAAGAAUACAUUUAUGUUACUAGAGUAUGAGGCGGUUUUAGUUAUAAAAUAGGCACAGUACAUAAAAACCUCUCAUAAACUGUAAGUCAUAAGCUGUUAAAUAUUUAUCAUAUUUGUCAUUCUAGUCACUAUUGUUUCUGUUAUUAUUGACAUUGUUAGUAUUUCCAGGAGUUUUUCAAUUGCAGAGAGCCGCCUGCAGGAGAAAGGAGCAGCGACCCCACAAGAAACUGACCCAGACUUGCCCAUGAGUGUCCAGAGUCUCCAGCAGAGGUGCAGUCGGCUGUUGGCUUCAGGGUGACAUGGAAAAAGCGUGAAGUUUAAUAAUUCUGGAGACUGGAUGGGGAAAAUACAAUAAAUCGGCCUAUGCAGACCACCUCCUCCAGCCCAUUGGGAUCUACUCAGAGGCAGGGUCACAGCACUGGCAGCCGAGCAGCCUGUGGGCCAGAGCGGGAGCUGGGCUACGUCCAUGCAUGUGUGGAACUCAUCUACUGUGUUGGGGGGAGCAGGGAGAAGGGACUGCAAACUCAGAUGGGAAAGGCAUAGAGACACGUCCGGACACACAGCAAGCAGAGCGGCUGCUCUGGGAAAUCUGAGGCGGAGGAGACACGAGAGGGGAAGGACAGUCUGACUGUGUGUGCUUUUGUAUUCUCGGCAUCUUUCCCAAUGAACUGGUAGCUUUAGAAUCCAGUGUCAUCAUCAGCUCUGCAGUGUUAGCCACCAGAAAUGCCAGCAAGAGAAAACCGUCCUUGUGGAAACAGGGCCAGUCCCUCUGAGAUACUCC